UCAUUAUCGACUUAAUCCCUUCCAUACACCCAUCAAAUGUGAAAUGACCCCAUGGAAAUAUCUCGCAUGCAUGCACAUCAUCAACAAUCUUCAGCAAGAAACGCUCAAUGUUACCAUCAGCCUUUGAUUUCGCAACAAUCACCUUGCACAAAAAUAGCAAGAUAGCCACUUCUUUCUAUUCGCCUUCUUCCUUUCUCCACAAUCCUUCAUUUCAUUCAGCUUCUUUUCAACAUCAAUGAUUUUAAUCCCAAAUACCUUUUAAAGAUCUUUUUUGCAAACUUCAAUUAUGCAUCCAUGAUAUUCAUACUCGGCUGCAACUCCUCGGGUACUCAUGAAAAUGAAAACCACAUAAGAGCGCAUGCUCUUUAGUGAAGUACCUAAUAGGCACUCCAUUCACCACAAAACAGAACUCUCUAUCCAUCUCUGUCUGCACUGUACGAAGCAAAAGCAUCCACAUGCCUUGAGUAAUGUGGUUUUUCUCCUCAGGCAUGUGGAAUACAUGCCUAAACUUUGAAUGUGCCUUGAACCAUGACAAAUCUUCUAGAAACCCCUCUAAAUACUUCACUGUCUGCUGCACAGUGCAUCUCGUCUCUACCUUACACGUCAUCUGGUAUUCGCUUGGACCAAAGAACAUCCCCUAUGGCUGCAUUGGUUGUUCCUCAUCAUCAAUUUCCUGAAAAUUCAUAGACAAACAUAAAAUUUAAUAUUUCGCUAUACUACUUGUACUAGUUAUCUCAGACCAACAUUAUCAACUUUUCUCAGAAUUCAAUUUUCUAAUGCAAACCAAUGUAUGAUUGAUCACGUUAACGUAUAAAUCCAUGCACCAAUCACACAAAACAAUACUAUAAGUUGUAUUAAGUGUUUUCUAGUUGUCCUUAUAUACUACUUUCAGAAAUUAAUGUAUUUAACGAAGUGACUCAAAUGGCAAGUCAACAAAAACUUUGUCAUUUAUUUCGAAAGUCAACAAAAACUUUACGAUUUAUUUGUCUUCCGUGAAGUUCAUGAUUAAAUCGUCCCAAAUUUGAAAGUUUCUUGAUUUUUUUGACAUUUUUCCCAUUUAUAUACCUCAUAUUUUUCAUUUUCACAUUGGUUAAAGUUUUCCUCUUCCUCUUCUUCAAGGUUUUCUUCUUCUCCUUCUUUUUCCUCUUCCUCUUCUUCACAGUUUUCUUCUUCCAAUUUUUUUCCCACUUCCUCUUUUUUAGGGUUUUCUUCCAUCGCUUGAGGCUGCAUUGGUUCCUUAUCAUCAAUUUCCUUAAAAUUCAUUCACAA
This 1269-nucleotide small RNA is filed under the name Arabidopsis thaliana (thale cress). RNAcentral's name for it is "ATSL202440". The record is from RNAcentral. Lineage: Eukaryota; Viridiplantae; Streptophyta; Magnoliopsida; Brassicales; Brassicaceae.